CAACUCACUGUGCGACAUCAGAGGCUUACUGAUGCUCAGCUCUGCUGGGAAAUAAGGUUCUUUUCUUCCCUCCCCUCCCCUCCCCUCCCUACCUCCUUCCUUUAUCCCCAUCCCUCCAACCCCCAGUCUGACCUCUUUCAUUGGCUUUAAGCUCAACCAAAAGGGAAGGGAAAAGAAGAGAAGACAGGGAGGAAGGAAGGAAGGGGGAAGAAAUGAAAGGAAAGGAAUGAAAGAGGGAGAGAAGGAAGGAAAAAAAAGAAAAGACAAAGGAAAGAAAGCAGCUUCGAGGCAUUUGGCUCUGGCCUGAGGAACUGUGCAGGUGUGAGGGGUGGGCCUGGGCAGGUGAGCACCUGUCCCCCAUCCCUCUACUCUCAGGGCCAGUGGGGAUGCUGCCUGUGGCCCCAGGGAUGACAGCUCUGACCAGGAAAAGCAGCUGGCCAUCCCUGGGCCUCUCUGGAGUCCUGUACUUCCCGACGUAUCCAGCCCCCAGCAACCCAGGAGGGUUGGGUCUGCCUCAACCCUGACAAAAGGGCAGCCUGACAGGAAGAAGGAAAUUUGGACACAGAGAAGAAAGCCACAACAGAGGCAGAGGCUAGAGCAAGGCGGCUGCAAACCCCGGCCCGGGGAAGAUUGCUGGCCCCCACCAGAACCUGGGAGGAAGCAGGAAGGAGCCUCCCCGCAGCCUUCGGAGGGAGCACGGCCCCGCCAACACUCUGAUUUUGGACGUCAGACCCCCAGAACUGCAAAAGGAGUUCCGGUUGUUUUCGGCCACCCCGUCUGUGGUACACUGUUUUGUCAGCCUGAGGAACCUCCAUACUGUUCACAUGAGUUCCAGGGCACCUGCGAAAGCCCACGUGCUGGGGCUGGGCUGGGGGUGCUGCUCUCCGCUUUGUUGAUAUCAUGAAACAGGGCAGAAACCACAGCCUCAGAGCUGACCUCUGCGGCAGGGCAGAGCUGGGGGAGGGGGUGGAGGGUCAUCUGGGCUGGGGGAGGGGGUGGAUGGUGACCUGG
This 1011-nucleotide long non-coding RNA is filed under the name Homo sapiens (human). Its description in RNAcentral is "HSALNT0318093". Lineage: Eukaryota; Metazoa; Chordata; Mammalia; Primates; Hominidae. The record is from RNAcentral.